GACAUAGGUGGCAAACGUUAUCCGGAAUUACUGGGCGUAAAGAGUUGCGUAGGUGGCAUUGUAAGUCUGUAGUGAAAGCGUGGGGCUCAACCUCAUAUACAUUAUGGAAACUGCAAAGCUAGAGGGCGAGAGAGGUUACUAGAAUUCCUUGUGUAGGAGUGAAAUCCGUAGAUAUAAGGAGGAAUACCGAUGGCGUAGGCAGGUAACUGGCUCGUCCCUGACACUAAGGCACGAAAGCGUGGGUAGCAAACUGG
Molecule: ribosomal RNA, 254 nt
Filed under: uncultured bacterium
Lineage: Bacteria
Description: partial 16S ribosomal RNA
Rfam family: Bacterial small subunit ribosomal RNA
Source: RNAcentral